CGGAGGAAAAGAAACUAACAAGGAUUCCCCUAGUAACUGCGAGUGAAGCGGGAAAAGCUCAAAUUUGAAAUCUGGYGGCCUCKGGUCAUCCGAGUUGUAGUCUGGAGAAGCGUCUUCCGUGCUGGACCGUGUACAAGUCCCUUGGAACAGGGCGUCAUAGAGGGUGAGAAUCCCGUCUUUGACAUGGGCUGCCAGUGCUUUGUGAUGCGCUCUCRAAGAGUCGAGUUGUUUGGGAAUGCAGCUCAAAAUGGGUGGUAAAUUCCAUCUAAAGCUAAAUAUUGGCGAGAGACCGAUAGCGAACAAGUACCGUGAGGGAAAGAUGAAAAGCACUUUGGAAAGAGAGUUAAACAGUACGUGAAAUUGUUGAAAGGGAAACGCUUGAAGUCAGUCGCGUCCGCCGGAACUCAGCCUUGCUUCUGCUUGGUGCAUUUUCCAGUUGACGGGCCAGCAUCGAUUUCGACCGUUGGAAAAAGGUAAAGGGAAUGUGGCACCUUCGGGUGUGUUAUAGCCCCUUAUCAUAUACGACGGUUGGGAUCGAGGAUCGCAGCACGCCUUCAUGGCCGGGGUUUGCCCACGUUCGUGCUUAGGAUGCUGGCGUAAUGGCUUUAAGCGACCCGUCUUGAAACACGGACCAAGGAGUCUAACAUGCCUGCGAGUGUUUGGGUGGAAAACCCGAGCGCGUAAUGAAAGUGAUAGUUGAGACCUCUGUCGCGGAGGGCAUCGACGCCCGGACUUGAUCUACGGAGACGGUUCCGCGGUAGAGCAUGUAUGUUGGGACCCGAAAGAUGGUGAACUAUGCCUGAAUAGGGUGAAGCCAGAGGAAACUCUGGUGGAGGCUCGUAGCGAUUCUGACGUGCAAAUCGAUCGUCAAAUUUGGGUAUAGGGGCGAAAGACUAAUCGAACCAUC
RNAcentral lists this ribosomal RNA (907 nucleotides) under Tomentellopsis sp. RNAcentral describes it as "partial large subunit ribosomal RNA". Lineage: Eukaryota; Fungi; Basidiomycota; Agaricomycetes; Thelephorales; Thelephoraceae. The record is from RNAcentral.